AUACUUUUGUAGUUCAUAGUGUGAUGAUUGUGUGUUCACACUUGUGUGAGAUGCCCCUCCCUCAAACCUUGUUACCCAUCUGAUA
Small nucleolar RNA from Callithrix jacchus (white-tufted-ear marmoset), 85 nucleotides. The record is from Ensembl. NCBI's taxonomy places the organism in Eukaryota, Metazoa, Chordata, Mammalia, Primates, Cebidae.